AUGUUUCAGGUUGGGCUGGCAUCCGGGCUUGGGCAGUAUACCAAAGUCGUAAGGGAAGCUCAGAAGGGAUUAAAACUUCAGAAUGUGAGGUUUGUCGACGCAAUGGGGUUGCCAUUCCAAGAUGGCCAUUUGCAUCUUAACACCCAGGCUCAGGUCCAGCUGGGACAUAUGCUGGCUCAAUCCUAUUUGACUUAUGGUACAUUCAAACACUAG
RNAcentral lists this ribosomal RNA (213 nucleotides) under Triticum aestivum (bread wheat). RNAcentral describes it as "partial small subunit ribosomal RNA". Lineage: Eukaryota; Viridiplantae; Streptophyta; Magnoliopsida; Poales; Poaceae. The record is from RNAcentral.